RNAcentral lists this ribosomal RNA (497 nucleotides) under uncultured bacterium. RNAcentral describes it as "partial 16S ribosomal RNA". It matches the Rfam family "Bacterial small subunit ribosomal RNA", at positions 28 to 507 of the family's 1533-position model. The record is from RNAcentral.
GAUGAACGCUGGCGGCGUGCCUAAUACAUGCAAGUCGAGCGAACAGACGAGGAGCUUGCUCCUCUGACGUUAGCGGCGGACGGGUGAGUAACACGUGGAUAACCUACCUAUCAGACUGGGAUAACUUCGGGAAACCGGAGCUAAUACCGGAUAAUAUAUUGAACCGCAUGGUUCAAUAGUGAAAGACGGUUUUGCUGUCACUUAUAGAUGGAUCCGCGCCGAAUUAGCUAGUUGGUAAGGUAACGGCUCACCAAGGCGACGAUGCGUAGCCGACCUGAGAGGGUGAUCGGCCACACUGGAACUGGGACACGGUCCAGACUCCUACGGGAGGCAGCAGUAGGGAAUCUUCCUCAAUGGGCGAAAUCCUGACGGAGCAACGCCGCGUGAGUGAUGAAGGUGUUCGGAUCGUAAAACGCUGUUAUUAGGGAAGAACAAAUAUGUAAGUAACUAUGCACGUCUUGACGGUACCUAAUCAGAAAGCCACGGCUAACUACGUG